This 496-nucleotide ribosomal RNA is filed under the name uncultured bacterium. Its description in RNAcentral is "partial 16S ribosomal RNA". It matches the Rfam family "Bacterial small subunit ribosomal RNA", at positions 28 to 507 of the family's 1533-position model. The record is from RNAcentral.
GAUGAACGCUGGCGGCGUGCCUAAUACAUGCAAGUCGAGCGAACAGACGAGGAGCUUGCUCCUCUGACGUUAGCGGCGGACGGGUGAGUAACACGUGGAUAACCUACCUAUAAGACUGGGAUAACUUCGGGAAACCGGAGCUAAUACCGGAUAAUAUAUUGAACCGCAUGGUUCAAUAGUGAAAGACGGUUUUGCUGUCACUUAUAGAUGGAUCCGCGCCGCAUUAGCUAGUUGGUAAGGUAACGGCUUACCGAGGCAACGAUGCGUAGCCGACCUGAGAGGGUGAUCGGCCACACUGGAACUGAGACACGGUCCAGACUCCUACGGAGGCAGCAGUAGGGAAUCUUCCGCAAUGGGCGAAAGCUUGACGGAGCAACGCCGCGUGAGUGAUGAAGGUCUUCGGAUCGUAAAACUCUGUUAUUAGGGAAGAACAAAUGUGUAAGUAACUAUGCACGUCUUGACGGUACCUAAUCAGAAAGCCACGGCUAACUACGUG